Molecule: unclassified non-coding RNA, 297 nt
Filed under: uncultured Pleosporales
Lineage: Eukaryota; Fungi; Ascomycota; Dothideomycetes; Pleosporales
Description: sequence contains ITS1
Rfam family: 5.8S ribosomal RNA (bases 1-105)
Source: RNAcentral
AAAAUGCGAUAAGUAGUGUGAAUUGCAGAAUUCAGUGAAUCAUCGAAUCUUUGAACGCACAUUGCGCCCUUUGGUAUUCCUUAGGGCAUGCCUGUUCGAGCGUCAUUUUCACCUUCAAGCACAGCUUGGUGUUGGGCGUCUGUCCUGCCUCCGGCACGGACUCGCCUCAAAAGUAUUGGCGGCCGCUCCAGCGGCUUUGAGCGCAGCAGAAUUGCGUCUCUCGCGGCGAAGGGUGGUAUCCAGAAGCAUAUUUUUUAUUUUGACCUCGGAUCAGGUAGGGAUACCCGCUGAACUUAA